RNAcentral lists this ribosomal RNA (304 nucleotides) under uncultured bacterium. Its description in RNAcentral is "partial 16S ribosomal RNA". It matches the Rfam family "Bacterial small subunit ribosomal RNA", at positions 506 to 809 of the family's 1533-position model. The record is from RNAcentral.
CAGCAGUAGCCGCGGUAAUACGAAGGGGGCUAGCGUUGCUCGGAAUUACUGGGCGUAAAGGGGGCGUAGGCGGACAUUUAAGUCAGGGGUGAAAUCCCAGAGCUCAACUCUGGAACUGCCUUUGAUACUGGGUGUCUUGAGUGUGAUAGAGGUAUGUGGAACUCCGAGUGUAGAGGUGAAAUUCGUAGAUAUUCGGAAGAACACCAGUGGCGAAGGCGACAUACUGGAUCAUUACUGACGCUGAGGCUCGAAAGCGUGGGGAGCAAACAGGAUUAGAUACCCGUGUAGUCCCUGUCUCUUAUAU